GAGGCGGCCGCGGUCGCCCGGCGCAGCCCGGCGCGAGGAGCAAAUGUGCGCCCGCACGGCGAGGGCAGCCCGGGCUUCGCUGGUUCUCGCCGAGGUCUUUCCUCGUAGCGCCCACACUACGGGGAGGAAAAGGAAUGGAGUCAACUUCGUUCGAAUCCAACGCCAGUUAGUUUCCUUAUUAUAACGUCAUUUUUUUUAAUCCAGAAAAGGUUCAUAAGGAUGUAAGACGAAAAGAACGAUGACAGCUCGAGAAAUAAAACGGCAAGUCAUCUUUGCACUCAUAACCACAUCUUUUAUGGAACAUCAAGCCUACUCUGAGGUACAGGCUUUCAGAAGCCUGAAUUUGGAGGACCAUGCCUGAACCAAAUGGAGUCUCCAGAAUCAAAACUGCUCAAAAUAAUCAUUCAUGGUUCUCAGACCAAAUAAGAUCUACUUAGAAACAUUUCUCGACAGCACGCUGCCAUGCCGACGCAGACCCCACUCUGCACGCCAGCCCCCCUGCACCCACCAUGGCCACAGUUCAGCAGCUAGAAGGAAGAUGGCGCCUGGUGGACAACAAAGGCUUUGAUGAAUACAUGAAGGAGCUAGGAGUGGGAAUAGCUUUGUGAAAAAUGGGCGCAAUGGCCAAGCCAGAUUGUAUCAUCACUUGUGAUAGCAAAAACCUCACCAUAAAAACUGAGAGCACUUUGAAAACAACACAGUUUUCUGGUACCCUGGGAGAGAAGUUUGAAGAAAACACAGCUGAUGGCAGAAGAACUCAGACUGUUUGCAACUUUACAGAUGGUGCAUUGGUUCAGCAUCAGGAGUGGGAUGG
Molecule: long non-coding RNA, 814 nt
Organism: Homo sapiens (human)
Lineage: Eukaryota; Metazoa; Chordata; Mammalia; Primates; Hominidae
Gene: FABP5P3
Product: fatty acid binding protein 5 pseudogene 3
Source: Ensembl